GGUUAAAUUUUCUUAACCAUUACGUAUAGUCACAAAGUGGUCAGAAAGUUUUGACCACAUCCUUACAAUUUUUUGACGAUGUUUCAAAGUUAACCUAAAUAUCGAAUCUUAUUUCUUCAUUUCUAAGUUCAGUUUUCUUUCCAAGCGGCGCCAUCAAACCUCUUCUCAUUCUCUUCUCAUCUUUUUUUUUAUUUCUCUCCUUAAUCUUUUUCUUCUCUGCUAAUUCAGUUUAUUUCCCCUUAUGACAGGUUCUCCAAUGGUCAAUGGAUAGGAGAUGAUGACCUGAAGCCAGCUGUAACUUCGAUAAGUUCCUGAAAGUUUGCAUUCAACAUCCAAACUUGGGUUAUUGUCCCAAAGUGUUACUGAAAUACCUCUUAGAGCUAUGUACAAAGAGAUCAUACAAAGGAAAGGAAACAGCAGCUGCGGAAUAAGUUAAACAAGGCUAGAAGAAGUUAAACAAGACUAUGUGUGUUAAGUAGAGAUAAAGGGAUAUAGAAAAAGCAGUGUUUCGAGUGAGAAGUUAGUUGUUAGUAUCUUGUGUACUAGUGAGUCUGGCAUUUGAGAACAACCAGUUCAAAGUGUAGUUCUUUCUUGAGUGGAGUUAGUUUUUUUCUGUACGUAUUCUUAUGUUGCUAAACUUCAAUUUUUAUGUUUCAGAUAACUUUAAUUCAAAUUAAUCAAUUUCAUUAAGUUUUACAGUA
Raphanus sativus (radish) is the source of this 701-nucleotide long non-coding RNA. RefSeq lists it as uncharacterized. The transcript has 2 exons. NCBI's taxonomy places the organism in Eukaryota, Viridiplantae, Streptophyta, Magnoliopsida, Brassicales, Brassicaceae. The record is from RefSeq and is a predicted model, not a curated record.